AAAGAAAUAUAUAAUUUUAAGAAAAAGCUUCUAACUUUUUCCUUUAGCAGUGAA
Molecule: transfer RNA, 54 nt
Filed under: Metacantharis sp. UPOL 000M14
Lineage: Eukaryota; Metazoa; Arthropoda; Insecta; Coleoptera; Cantharidae
Description: partial tRNA-Ser
Source: RNAcentral